Molecule: ribosomal RNA, 497 nt
Filed under: uncultured bacterium
Lineage: Bacteria
Description: partial 16S ribosomal RNA
Rfam family: Bacterial small subunit ribosomal RNA
Source: RNAcentral
GAUGAACGCUGGCGUCGUGCCUAAUACAUGCAAGUCGAGCGAACGGACGAGAAGCUUGCUUCUCUGAUGUUAGCGGCGGACGGGUGAGUAACACGUGGAUAACCUACCUAUAAGACUGGGAUAACUUCGGGAAACCGGAGCUAAUACCGGAUAAUAUUUUGAACCGCAUGGUUCAAAAGUGAAAGACGGUCUUGCUGUCACUUAUAGAUGGAUCCGCGCUGCAUUAGCUAGUUGGUAAGGUAACGGCUUACCAAGGCAACGAUGCAUAGCCGACCUGAGAGGGUGAUCGGCCACACUGGAACUGAGACACGGUCCAGACUCCUACGGGAGGCAGCAGUAGGGAAUCUUCCGCAAUGGGCGAAAGCCUGACGGAGCAACGCCGCGUGAGUGAUGAAGGUCUUCGGAUCGUAAAACUCUGUUAUUAGGGAAGAACAUAUGUGUAAGUAACUGUGCACAUCUUGACGGUACCUAAUCAGAAAGCCACGGCUAACUACGUG